Molecule: transfer RNA, 76 nt
Filed under: Candidatus Hydrogenedentes bacterium CG1_02_42_14
Lineage: Bacteria; Pseudomonadati; Candidatus Hydrogenedentota
Also listed under: 2 other names
Description: tRNA-Asp
Rfam family: tRNA
About the family: Transfer RNA (tRNA) molecules are approximately 80 nucleotides in length. Their secondary structure includes four short double-helical elements and three loops (D, anti-codon, and T loops).
Source: RNAcentral
GGGGUGGUAGUUCAAUUUGGUUUAGAGCGUCGCCCUGUCACGGCGAAGGUUACGGGUUCGAGCCCCGUCCACCCCG